Molecule: ribosomal RNA, 468 nt
Filed under: uncultured bacterium
Lineage: Bacteria
Description: partial 16S ribosomal RNA
Rfam family: Bacterial small subunit ribosomal RNA
Source: RNAcentral
GACGAACGCUGGCGGCGUGCUUAACACAUGCAAGUCGAACGGAAAGGCCCUGCUUUUGUGGGGUUCUCGAGUGGCGAACGGGUGAGUAACACGUGAGUAACCUGCCCUUGACUUUGGGAUAACUUCAGGAAACUGGGGGUAAUACCGGAUAGGAGCUCCUGCUGCAUGGUGGGGGUUGGAAAGUUUCGGCGGUUGGGGAUGGACUCGCGGCUUAUCAGCUUGUUGGUGGGGUAGUGGCUUACCAAGGCUUUGACGGGUAGCCGGCCUGAGAGGGUGACCGGCCACAUUGGGACUGAGAUACGGCCCAGACUCCUACGGGAGGCAGCAGUGGGGAAUAUUGCACAAUGGGCGGAAGCCUGAUGCAGCAACGCCGCGUGCGGGAUGACGGCCUUCGGGUUGUAAACCGCUUUCGCCUGUGACGAAGCGUGAGUGACGGUAAUGGGUAAAGAAGCACCGGCUAACUACGUG